UGGCGACGGGUGAGUACACGUGGGCAAUCUGCCCUGCACUCUGGGACAAGCCCUGGAAACGGGGUCUAAUACCGGAUAACACUGCGGAUCGCAUGGUCUGCGGUUGAAAGCUCCGGCGGUGCAGGAUGAGCCCGCGGCCUAUCAGCUUGUUGGUGGGGUGAUGGCCUACCAAGGCGACGACGGGUAGCCGGCCUGAGAGGGCGACCGGCCACACUGGGACUGAGACACGGCCCAGACUCCUACGGGAGGCAGCAGUGGGGAAUAUUGCACAAUGGGCGAAAGCCUGAUGCAGCGACGCCGCGUGAGGGAUGACGGCCUUCGGGUUGUAAACCUCUUUCAGCAGGGAAGAAGCGAAAGUGACGGUACCUGCAGAAGAAGCGCCGGCUAACUACGUGCCAGCACCGGGGGUAAAUACG
RNAcentral lists this ribosomal RNA (416 nucleotides) under Streptomyces sp. MBT91. RNAcentral's name for it is "bacterial SSU rRNA". It matches the Rfam family "Bacterial small subunit ribosomal RNA", at positions 96 to 527 of the family's 1533-position model. Lineage: Bacteria; Bacillati; Actinomycetota; Actinomycetes; Kitasatosporales; Streptomycetaceae. The record is from RNAcentral.